GGAUGAGGGCGAUCUGGCUGAGACAUCUGUCACCCAUUGAUUGCCAUGGUUGAUUUAGUUGAUCUGGCUGGUGAGGCAAGUGUUCCUUUCCUCCCCCACCACUCCAUGUGCAUCCCCCCCAAAGCUUCAUGCUCAGAAGAAGAGAAUGACCACCCUUGAUAAGGAAAGACUGUUUUCUUGGUCAAGGGUGUAUGAAUAGCUGCACUCGCCUGCUAGAACCUCCAAACAAGCUCUCAAGAUGGGCUUAAAGCAUUCCAGGGCUUCUGAACUUUCCAAACCUCUCCUGCAAAGCAGUUU
This is an unclassified non-coding RNA of Fukomys damarensis (Damara mole-rat), 297 nucleotides long. Its record names the gene 7SK. It matches the Rfam family "7SK RNA". From Rfam's summary of the family: 7SK was discovered as an abundant small nuclear RNA in the mid-70s but a possible function has only recently been suggested. Lineage: Eukaryota; Metazoa; Chordata; Mammalia; Rodentia; Bathyergidae. The record is from Ensembl.